GUGCUUGCUUCAGCAGCACAUAUACUAAAAUUGGAACAAUAGAGAGAAGAUUAGCAUGGCCCCUGUGCAAGGAUGAUGUGAAAAUUUGCUAAGUAUUCCACAUUUUU
This is a small nuclear RNA of Heterocephalus glaber (naked mole-rat), 107 nucleotides long. NCBI's taxonomy places the organism in Eukaryota, Metazoa, Chordata, Mammalia, Rodentia, Bathyergidae. The record is from Ensembl.